Molecule: ribosomal RNA, 253 nt
Filed under: uncultured bacterium
Lineage: Bacteria
Description: partial 16S ribosomal RNA
Rfam family: Bacterial small subunit ribosomal RNA
Source: RNAcentral
UACGUAGGGUGCGAGCGUUGUCCGGAAUUACUGGGCGUAAAGAGCUCGUAGGUGGUUUGUCGCGUUGUUCGUGAAAACUCACAGCUCAACUGUGGGCGUGCGGGCGAUACGGGCAGACUGGAGUACUGCAGGGGAGACUGGAAUUCCUGGUGUAGCGGUGAAAUGCGCAGAUAUCAGGAAGAACACCCGUGGCGAAGGCGGCUCUCUGGAACGCAACUGACGCUGAGACGCGAAAGCGUGGGGAGCAAACAGG